Molecule: ribosomal RNA, 484 nt
Filed under: uncultured bacterium
Lineage: Bacteria
Description: partial 16S ribosomal RNA
Rfam family: Bacterial small subunit ribosomal RNA
Source: RNAcentral
AUUGAACGCUGGCGGCAUGCUUUACACAUGCAAGUCGAACGGCAGCGCGGGCUUCGGCCUGGCGGCGAGUGGCGAACGGGUGAGUAAUGCAUCGGAACGUGCCUAGUAGUGGGGGAUAGCGCGCCGAAAGCCGGAUUAAUACCGCAUACGACCUGAGGGUGAAAGCGGGGGACCGUAAGACCUCGCGCUAUCGGAGCGGCCGAGGUCGGAUUAGCUAGUUGGUGGGGUAAAGGCUUACCAAGGCGACGAUCCGUAGCUGGUCUGAGAGGAUGACCAGCCACACUGGGACUGAGACACGGUCCAGACUCCUACGGGAGGCAGCAGUGGGGAAUUUUGGACAAUGGGGGAAAGCCUGAUCCAGCCAUGCCGCGUGUGGGAAGAAGGCCUUCGGGUUGUAAAGCGCUUUUGUUCGGGAAGAAAUGCACUGGGCUAAUACCCCGGUGGUAUGACGGUACCGGAAGAAUAAGCACCGGCUAACUUCGUG